Oncorhynchus tshawytscha (Chinook salmon) is the source of this 324-nucleotide long non-coding RNA. The record is from Ensembl. NCBI's taxonomy places the organism in Eukaryota, Metazoa, Chordata, Actinopteri, Salmoniformes, Salmonidae.
CUGGUUGUACAGUCUGAUGGAGGUUGUGUGUUGCUGGUUGUACAGUCUGAUGGAGGUUGUGUGUUGCUGGUUGUACAGUCUGAUGGAGGUUGUGUGUUGCUGGUUGUGCAGUGUGAUGGAGGUUGUGUGUUGCUGGUUGUACAGUCUGAUGGAGGUUGUGUUGCUGGUUGUACAGUCUGAUGGAGGUUGUGUUGCUGGUUGUACAGUCUGAUGGAGGUUGUGUUGUACAGUCUGAUGCAGGUUGUGUUGCUGGUUGUACAGUCUGAUGCAGGUUGUGUUGCUGGUUGUGCAGUGUGAUGGAGGUUGUUGGUUGUGUGUUGCUGG